GGGGUUGUGGCUCAACGGUAGAGCAUGCACCUAGCAGAUGCGAGGCCCUGGGUUCGAUCCUCAGCACCACA
RNAcentral lists this transfer RNA (71 nucleotides) under Marmota monax (woodchuck). RNAcentral's name for it is "tRNA.Ala". It matches the Rfam family "tRNA". From Rfam's summary of the family: Transfer RNA (tRNA) molecules are approximately 80 nucleotides in length. Their secondary structure includes four short double-helical elements and three loops (D, anti-codon, and T loops). Further hydrogen bonds mediate the characteristic L-shaped molecular structure. tRNAs have two regions of fundamental functional importance: the anti-codon, which is responsible for specific mRNA codon recognition, and the 3' end, to which the tRNAs corresponding amino acid is attached (by aminoacyl-tRNA synthetases). tRNAs cope with the degeneracy of the genetic code in two manners: having more than one tRNA (with a specific anti-codon) for a particular amino acid; and 'wobble' base-pairing, i.e. permitting non-standard base-pairing at the 3rd anti-codon position. The record is from RNAcentral. Lineage: Eukaryota; Metazoa; Chordata; Mammalia; Rodentia; Sciuridae.